Long non-coding RNA from Fukomys damarensis (Damara mole-rat), 1108 nucleotides. RefSeq lists it as uncharacterized. The transcript is spliced from 3 exons. Lineage: Eukaryota; Metazoa; Chordata; Mammalia; Rodentia; Bathyergidae. The record is from RefSeq and is a predicted model, not a curated record.
GUGGUGUCUCCAGGGAAACAGCCAUGGUGACAAGCUCAUGGCACUGUGGUGAGGACCUCCUGACACCAUCCAGGGGCAGCAGACUGGCCCAAGUGAGGAGGAGCCUGAGUGCAGCAGCCCUGCAGAAGGGUCCCUGAGUGUGAAGGUGUGGCUCCACUGAGUCCCCUGCCUGGCAACGUGGCCCGGAGAAGGUCGCAUACACCCAAGGGAUCCCAACCUGGCUAUAUCUCACAUCCAUCUGCAAACAUCGCCCACCCAGGCCACACCCCUCACCAGUCACGCUUGAUUUCAGUAUCUUUAAAGGGGACCACUAUGGGUUUUAAGGCCACGCCUGUCUGUCCGGAACCAGAAGGAAACUCCGGAUACCACAGCUGAGCCUGACCACCCCAUGCAAAGUAGACCUUAAGGAAGAGGUGAGACGAGCCUCCUGUUCGAGAGGGUGCAGCACACACGUCCUCAGUCCAGAGGAGUUUGCCAAGUGGUCUUCCUUCAACUCUCUGCAUCCUCCUGCUCUUGAUCACAGUCCUGUGACUUGUCACUGGUUUAUUCCUGUGCCCGACGUAUCUCCAGACUGGAGACCUCCCGACUGGAGGGUAGGGCAGCCUAGGGGGGCUGAACAAGAAGGGUGGGGACCAGACGGGGUGGGGAGGCUGUGGAGGUGAGCAAGGCAAGUGGUGCCCCAAGCCAUGAGUCCUGAGGUGAAGAGAGGCACUUUUCUUCCCAGAGCCUCUGGGAUCGGUGAGACAGGUCUGAUCUGCGUCUGGCUUCUGGCCCUGGCUCAGUGUUGUGACUGCAGGGGACCUUCAUCAUCAGCUGACAGUGGGGUCACGUCCUGGAGCUCAGAUAGCUGGGAGCCCCCACCCCCGCUGGGAUGAUGCCAUCGUCUUUAAUUGAGAGCCUCACACUUGACCAGGUGAGCCUCAGAUCAUCACGAGUGGAAGGCGUGUCAUUCCUGGUCUAAAAUUGUAUUUCCUCUUCUCAAAAAGCUGUUCAAGCUCUGUGGACCAACAGCUAUGUGAUCUUGGGCAAGCACAACCUCUCUGUACCUCAGCUUCUCAUCUAAGGAUGGCAAAGGAACCUUAGCUCCAGGAGUAUUUGGAGGCCUGAA